UACGGAGGGAGCUAGCGUUGUUCGGAAUUACUGGGCGUAAAGCGCGCGUAGGCGGCUUUGUAAGUUAGAGGUGAAAGCCCGGGGCUCAACUCCGGAAUUGCCUUUAAGACUGCAUCGCUCGAAUUGUGGAGAGGUAAGUGGAAUUCCGAGUGUAGAGGUGAAAUUCGUAGAUAUUCGGAAGAACACCAGUGGCGAAGGCGGCGAUCUGGGAAGAUACUGACGCUGAGGUGCGAAAGCGUGGGGAGCAAACAGG
This 253-nucleotide ribosomal RNA is filed under the name uncultured bacterium. Its description in RNAcentral is "partial 16S ribosomal RNA". It matches the Rfam family "Bacterial small subunit ribosomal RNA", at positions 524 to 776 of the family's 1533-position model. The record is from RNAcentral.